RNAcentral lists this ribosomal RNA (233 nucleotides) under uncultured Veillonellaceae bacterium. RNAcentral describes it as "partial 16S ribosomal RNA". It matches the Rfam family "Bacterial small subunit ribosomal RNA", at positions 118 to 334 of the family's 1533-position model. The record is from RNAcentral. Lineage: Bacteria; Bacillati; Bacillota; Negativicutes; Veillonellales; Veillonellaceae.
UAAACAACCUGCCCUACGGAUGGGGACAACAGCUGGAAACGGCUGCUAAUACCGAAUACGUUCCGAAAGUCGCAUGACUAUCGGAAGAAAGGAUGGCCUCUAUUUAUAAGCUAUCGCCGGAGGAGGGGUUUGCGUCUGAUUAGCUAGUUGGAGGGGUAACGGCCCACCAAGGCGACGAUCAGUAGCCGGUCUGAGAGGAUGAACGGCCACAUUGGAACUGAGACACGGUCCAG